Molecule: non-coding RNA, 698 nt
Filed under: Capsicum annuum
Lineage: Eukaryota; Viridiplantae; Streptophyta; Magnoliopsida; Solanales; Solanaceae
Description: Bacterial large subunit ribosomal RNA
Rfam family: Bacterial large subunit ribosomal RNA
Source: Rfam by way of RNAcentral
GUAGGAGGAGUCAGGGUCUGACUGUGUGCCUAUUGAUGAAUGGACCGGAGACUCAUAGAAAGUGGCUUUAAUGAGGAAAACCACCAUAGCCAUAGCGAAUGUGAGUCUUCAUAGGGAAAUUUUCACUACUUAUAAACUCAAACCUGGGUGAUCUAUCCUUGACCAAUAAAAAGCUUGAGUGAAACUAAGUAGAGGUAUGAUCGACUAAUGUUGAAGAAUUAGUGGGUGAGUUGUAGUUAGGGGUAAAAUAUCACUCGUACCUAGAGCUAGUUGGUUCUCUUCGAAAUGCAUUAAGGCUCAGCAGUUGAUUGGAUAUCUGGGGGUAAAUUAUGAUAUUAAUGCGGGCCACAAAAAAGUACCAAAUUAAGGCAAAAUCAAAAUACAAGAUACGACCUCAAAACAACAGAGGGGCAAGGUCAACUAGUUAGAUGAUGGGGGAUAAGAUUCAUCAUCAAGAAAGAAAGAGCAUGAAUCACCAGUUAAGGCCCCUAAAUUACCGCCUAGUUAUAAACAAGGUAGGAGUGCGGAGAUGGACAAGAGGUUUGCCUAUAAGGAACCUCUCUUUAAAUAGUGCAUAAUAGCUCACUGAUUGAGCGCUUUUUUGCAGAAGAUGAAUGGGGCUAAGUGUUCUACCAAAGCUAUAGGAUGUCAAAGUACAUCAAUGGAUAUAUUUAAAUUCCUUGUUCGCUCUUUCUAGU